This 345-nucleotide ribosomal RNA is filed under the name Triticum aestivum (bread wheat). RNAcentral's name for it is "partial small subunit ribosomal RNA". Lineage: Eukaryota; Viridiplantae; Streptophyta; Magnoliopsida; Poales; Poaceae. The record is from RNAcentral.
AUGUGUGCAGUGUCCUUAGACCAGAGACCAUCUAUAAUUCUGCUACCAUUUGUUCGAAAUACAUCUGUCUCCGAUCAAGUCCUCCUCUCAGAGUUGGUCGGUUUCACAAUGUCAUUGUUCAUUUCAGAAUGGACCCUUCUUCCACAAGGAAAGAGAUGGCAUCAACUUGAAGCCUUGGUGGCUUUCAUUAGGUUUUUGGGUCCUUCUCUCCUAGGCUGUACAUUAUCCUUUGUUUUGCUCACUCAUUUGAAAAUCAAUAAUCCCUACAUUUUUAUAUACAAGGCCACUAUGAAAAACACAUCUAUCUUGGUGUAUUUCUUCUCUAUCAACCGUACGGCGUCAUAG